AACGAACGCUGGCGGCAGGCUUAACACAUGCAAGUCGAGCGCCCCGCAAGGGGAGCGGCAGACGGGUGAGUAACGCGUGGGAAUCUACCGUACCCUACGGAACAACAGUUGGAAACGACUGCUAAUACCGUAUACGCCCUACGGGGGAAAGAUUUAUCGGGGUAUGAUGAGCCCGCGUUGGAUUAGUUAGUUGGGGGGGU
RNAcentral lists this ribosomal RNA (200 nucleotides) under uncultured bacterium. RNAcentral describes it as "partial 16S ribosomal RNA". It matches the Rfam family "Bacterial small subunit ribosomal RNA", at positions 29 to 258 of the family's 1533-position model. The record is from RNAcentral.